CCUGGGGCUGUAGUAGGUCCCAAGGGUUGGGGGGUUCGCCCAUUAAAGGGGUUAGCGGGAUGUGUUCAGAACGUCGUGAGCGAGUGCGGGCCCUAUCCGUCUCAGGCGUAGGAAAUUUGAGGAGACCGUUCCUUAGGACGAGAGGAACGGGAUGGACGAACCUCUGGUGUACCAGUGGUCCUGCGAAGGGCAGGGCUGGGUAGCUAUGUACGGAAUGGAUAAGCGCUGAAAGCAUCUAAGCGCGAAGCCAACUUCAAGAUAAGAUUUCCCACCGCAAGGGUAAGACCCCAGAAAGACUAUCUGG
RNAcentral lists this ribosomal RNA (304 nucleotides) under Clostridioides difficile. RNAcentral's name for it is "bacterial LSU rRNA". It matches the Rfam family "Bacterial large subunit ribosomal RNA", at positions 2546 to 2852 of the family's 2925-position model. The record is from RNAcentral. Lineage: Bacteria; Bacillati; Bacillota; Clostridia; Peptostreptococcales; Peptostreptococcaceae.